RNAcentral lists this ribosomal RNA (675 nucleotides) under uncultured Bacteroidales bacterium. RNAcentral describes it as "bacterial SSU rRNA". It matches the Rfam family "Bacterial small subunit ribosomal RNA", at positions 84 to 756 of the family's 1533-position model. The record is from RNAcentral. Lineage: Bacteria; Pseudomonadati; Bacteroidota; Bacteroidia; Bacteroidales.
GCCGAUGGCGACCGGCGCACGGGUGAGUAACACGUAUCCAACCUGCCGUCUACUCUUGGACAGCCUUCUGAAAGGAAGAUUAAUACCAGAUGGCAUCAUGAGUCCGCAUGGUUCUCAUUAUUAAAGGUAUUCCGGUAGACGAUGGGGAUGCGUUCCAUUAGAUAGUAGGCGGGGUAACGGCCCACCUAGUCUUCGAUGGAUAGGGGUUCUGAGAGGAAGGUCCCCCACAUUGGAACUGAGACACGGUCCAAACUCNUACGGGAGGCAGCAGUGAGGAAUAUUGGUCAAUGGGCGCAGGCCUGAACCAGCCAAGUAGCGUGAAGGAUGACUGCCCUAUGGGUUGUAAACUUCUUUUAUAAAGGAAUAAAGUCGGCUAUGUAUACCCGUUUGCAUGUACUGUAUGAAUAAGGAUCGGCUAACUCCGUGCCAGCAGCCGCGGUAAUACGGAGGAUCCGAGCGUUAUCCGGAUUUAUUGGGUUUAAAGGGAGCGUAGGCGGAUGCUUAAGUCAGUUGCGAAAGUUUGCGGCUCAACCGUAAAAUUGCAGUUGAUACUGGGUGUCUUGAGUACAGUAGAGGCAGGCGGAAUUCGUGGUGUAGCGGUGAAAUGCUUAGAUAUCACGAAGAACUCCGAUUGCGAAGGCAGCUUGCUGGACUGUAACUGACGCUGAUGCUCGA